Molecule: ribosomal RNA, 500 nt
Filed under: uncultured bacterium
Lineage: Bacteria
Description: partial 16S ribosomal RNA
Rfam family: Bacterial small subunit ribosomal RNA
Source: RNAcentral
AUUGAACGCUGGCGGCAUGCUUUACACAUGCAAGUCGAACGGUAACAGGGUGCUUGCACCGCUGACGAGUGGCGAACGGGUGAGUAAUACAUCGGAAUGUACCCAGGAAUGGGGGAUAACGCUUCGAAAGGAGUGCUAAUACCGCAUACGCCCUAAGGGGGAAAGUGGGGGAUCGUAAGACCUCACACUAUAGGAGCGGCCGAUGCCGGACUAGCUAGUUGGUGGGGUAAAAGCUCACCAAGGCGACGAUCCAUAGCUGGUCUGAGAGGAUGAUCAGCCACACUGGGACUGAGACACGGCCCAGACUCCUACGGGAGGCAGCAGUGGGGAAUUUUGGACAAUGGGGGAAACCCUGAUCCAGCCAUGCCGCGUGAGUGAAGAAGGCCUUCGGGUUGUAAAGCUCUUUCGGCCGGGACGAAAUCGCACGCGUGAAUAUCGUGUGCGGAUGACGGUACCGGCAGAAGAAGGACCGGCUAACUACGUGCCAGCCGCCGCCGUAA